AGUGAACGCUGGCGGUAGGCCUAACACAUGCAAGUCGAACGGCAGCACAGUAAGAGCUUGCUCUUACGGGUGGCGAGUGGCGGACGGGUGAGGAAUACAUCGGAAUCUACUUUUUCGUGGGGGAUAACGUAGGGAAACUUACGCUAAUACCGCAAACGACCUACGGGUGAAAGCAGGGGAUCUUCGGACCUUGCGCGAUUGAAUGAGCCGAUGUCGGAUUAGCUAGUUGGCGGGGUAAAGGCCCACCAAGGCGACGAUCCGUAGCUGGUCUGAGAGGAUGAUCAGCCACACUGGAACUGAGACACGGUCCAGACUCCUACGGGAGGCAGCAGUGGGGAAUAUUGGACAAUGGGCGCAAGCCUGAUCCAGCCAUACCGCGUGGGUGAAGAAGGCCUUCGGGUUGUAAAGCCCUUUUGUUGGGAAAGAAAAGCAGCAGGUUAAUACCCCGCUGUUCUGACGGUACCCAAAGAAUAAACACCGGCUAACUUCGU
This 491-nucleotide ribosomal RNA is filed under the name uncultured bacterium. Its description in RNAcentral is "partial 16S ribosomal RNA". It matches the Rfam family "Bacterial small subunit ribosomal RNA", at positions 29 to 506 of the family's 1533-position model. The record is from RNAcentral.